GACGAACGCUGGCGGCGUGCUUAACACAUGCAAGUCGAACGGAAAGGCCCUGCUUUUGUGGGGUGCUCGAGUGGCGAACGGGUGAGUAACACGUGAGUAACCUGCCCUUGACUUUGGGAUAACUUCAGGAAACUGGGGCUAAUACCGGAUAGGAGCUCCUGCUGCAUGGUGGGGGUUGGAAAGUUUCGGCGGUUGGGGAUGGACUCGCGGCUUAUCAGCUUGUUGGUGGGGUAGUGGCUUACCAAGGCUUUGACGGGUAGCCGGCCUGAGAGGGUGACCGGCCACAUUGGGACUGAGAUACGGCCCAGACUCCUACGGGAGGCAGCAGUGGGGAAUAGUGCACAAUGGGCGGAAGCCUGAUGCAGCAACGCCGCGUGCGGGAUGACGGCCUUCGGGUUGUAACCCGCUUUCGCCUGUGACGAAGCGUGAGUGACGGUAAUGGGUAAAGAAGCACCGGCUAACUACGUG
Molecule: ribosomal RNA, 468 nt
Filed under: uncultured bacterium
Lineage: Bacteria
Description: partial 16S ribosomal RNA
Rfam family: Bacterial small subunit ribosomal RNA
Source: RNAcentral